AACGCACGAGACCUGCGGACCUGCGGAAGGAUCAUUCGUGAAGCAGGCGCUCCGUCGCCCUUCUCUACCCUUCAACCAUGUGGUCUUCUGCCAUUGCCUCGGGGGGGUUUGAGGCGGCCUCGGCCGUCGGGGCCCCUUGCUGGGCCCCGCCCCCCCGCGUGCCCUUGAUAAAGUCUUGGAGUGAUAUUUGCGUCUGAUCUGUCCGGUGGACAUAAUGAAAAUAAAACUUUCAACAAUGGA
This 240-nucleotide unclassified non-coding RNA is filed under the name soil metagenome. RNAcentral's name for it is "partial contains 5.8S ribosomal RNA, internal transcribed spacer 2, and large subunit ribosomal RNA". The record is from RNAcentral.